AUGGAGGGGCUACGCAUGUUUCUGGUCGUUCUCUUAGGAGUUGUUUCUUACAGUCAUGGUUGGAUUUCUGGACCAGUGUUGGAGGUGACAGUAAGACCAGGAGACAACAUCACUCUCUACUGUGACUGCAAAUUAUCAAGUGGAGUAUACAUAGUGUGGUACAGAAACUGCUCUCACGAGAACCAGCCUUCUCUUGUCCUUGAAUUAAAAGCUAAUUCACAUGUGUUCACCGUUCUCCCUGGUUUUCAAUUUGUGAGAAACUAUUCCUCUGCCUCCUAUGACCUCUUGAUCAUGAACGUCACUGAUGCAGAUGAGGGUCUCUACUACUGUGGAACUAAACAGAUCAAGGUGGAGGACAAAGAAUUCAUCACUCCCAGAUAUGAUUACAGAUAUGGCAACGUCACAACAAGGAUCGGGAUCAUAGUCAAUUCCAGCCUUGACUCCAGUGGGUGCAUCUCAAGUCUUGUGCCUUCUGUGUCCUGGGUGAUGGUGUUCACUCCAGCCCUCAUGAUCCUCUCCUCCUUCCUCUCCUUUAUUCUGAUUCAUCACUUCUGUCAGAAAGCAGACAAGGAACGUCAAAUUCUCCAGAAAAGACCUGACGCCUGGGCACAAACAAGUUGGAAUAAGGAUGAAGAUGUGUAUUCAACACAAGUUGUGUUUCGGGCUAAGGAAGAAUAA
Molecule: long non-coding RNA, 678 nt
Filed under: Dicentrarchus labrax (European seabass)
Lineage: Eukaryota; Metazoa; Chordata; Actinopteri; Moronidae
Description: lncRNA (ENSDLAG00005029010.1)
Source: RNAcentral